Molecule: non-coding RNA, 1329 nt
Organism: Salvelinus sp. IW2-2015
Lineage: Eukaryota; Metazoa; Chordata; Actinopteri; Salmoniformes; Salmonidae
Source: RefSeq, a predicted model, not a curated record
UGCUAUUUAUCGUGUUCCGGUUGUCCUGCCAGGGUCUGAAGAGCCAGGUGCAGGUGAAGCUGAGCAUCGUGAGUUGUCCUCCUGUCACCACUGUCCUCAUCAAGAGACCUGACCUCAAGUUCCAGCUGGGCUUCAGUGUUCAGAACGGCAUCAUCUGCAGUCUGAUGCGUGGAGGUAUCGCGGAGCGAGGAGGGGUGCGAGUCGGCCACAGGAUCAUUGAGAUCAAUGGGCAGAGUGUGGUUGCCAUGCCGCAUGAGAAGAUAGUCCAGACCCUGUCUGUAUCAGUGGGAGAGAUCAACAUGAAGACCAUGCCUGCAGUGAUGUUCAGACUGUUAACAGGACAGGAGACUCCUGUCUACAUCUAGUCCCUCCAUGUCUACAUCUAGUCCCUCCAUGGGUGCACCCUCAAUGGCACCCUUUUCCCUGUGUAGUGCACUACUUCUAACCAUGGCCCAUAUGGCUGUAGGUUCACUAUGUCAGGAAUAGGGUGGCAUUUGGUAUGCAUAUUUUUCUGCGUACUCUCUCACUGCUUCUGCAUGUCUAGGAGAAGAUGGUGGACAGACCGGGUGGGUGACAGGCAGAGGAGGCUGGUAUUCCAGCCAUUCCAAUGAGCCUGUCCUCCGAUUUAUAGUGACGCCAGCCUCCACUGGUGACAAGGUGGUACAUUAGCAACAUUUAUUUUUUAUAUAUCAUUUUAUUUUGGGGGUAAUAUGUUACUCUGCUGAAAAUGUCAACAACAACAAAAAAAAUUCAACUUCAGGCUUAGUUGGAGUAGCCUGGAUAACACAUUGUUUGGCGAUGACGCAUUGUACAAGGAGUGAAAUGUUAGCUAAACAGACUGGUACCAGGCUAUAAUUGAAAAGCUACACGGUCAUAAUGGUUUGAUGUGUACAGUGUGUGUGCGCGYGUGUGUGAAUACGUAUGUAUACUGUUAAAGAAAACUGUAAAUGCAAGGUAAUGAUUAUGUUCUUAUGACUAGAUUACAAACACGCCACAUUUUAUUUCCAUUUUGAUAACAUGCAAGAUUAAACAAUGUAGUGACAUAAACGUGUUGAUACGGUAACUGAACUUAUUGUAGGGAAGGGGUUGGCCUGUCGUUAUUCUUCAAUAGGAGUUCAAGUGACAAAGCAGGGGUAUUUAAGCCUGUUCCCGUGUAUACCUAAACAGCAUAGGACAAGGCUAUUCUUCAAUAGCAGGGGUAUUUAAGCCUGUUCCCGUGUAUACCUAAACAGCAUAGGACAAGGCUAUUCUUCAAUAGCAGGGGUAUUUAAGCUACGUCCCGUGUAUACCUAAACAGCAUAAGACAAGGCUAUUCUUCAAUAGCAGGGG